Oncorhynchus keta (chum salmon) is the source of this 7270-nucleotide RNA transcript. It is a transcript of the gene named 1-acyl-sn-glycerol-3-phosphate acyltransferase gamma-like, with no coding region annotated. The record is from RefSeq and is a predicted model, not a curated record. The transcript has 11 exons. NCBI's taxonomy places the organism in Eukaryota, Metazoa, Chordata, Actinopteri, Salmoniformes, Salmonidae.
UGAACGCCCCGAAUUGCGGCCGCAAUCACAUACUACUGGAGCUUCAACGACUAAACAAUAGCAACCAUCCUGAGUGAAUUAGCUCGCUACUGAGAAUAAUUUAUAUAGGAAUCAAGGUGGCAGCACUAGUGAAAAUCCUAGCAUCUGCAAAACUGAAACAAAUCCGGAGAUCCAACCCACGGUGAAAUCAGAAGUCUGAUUUAGCUGAAGCCAGGAGCUGAAGGUGAUGAUGAUAUCUCUCAGUGAAGAGGAGAGCUAGACUACGCAGCACAAGCAAGGUACUAUAUAUAUAUUUUUUUUUAUAUAUGAAUCCUAUCAUAUAUAAUGGCCAAUUUGGGUGCAGCCAGAUUAAUUUCUCAGAGAUCUAAUUAUAUUUAAACAGAUUAAUGUUGCAGGAAUGUUUUAUCUUUUCUGUUUCUAACAGAACAGUCUGAGAUGGUGGGUGUCCAAGUCCCCAUUCUGGUGCUUUUUGAGGUGGAAUGACCGUCUGCUAUUUCUGCCACUCGUUCAAAUGAUUCUACACACAAACAGACAAUCAUAUCAUCACACUUGCACACAAUCUCUGCCUCUCUUCCUCCCUCUCUGGCCAGCUGGUGUUUAUCGUCCCUGAGAAAUGGAGACGACAUGGUUGUCCUGUCCUGUGAGGGAACAAAAUACUUUUCCCUCUCUGAGAUAUACUGAUAUACUCACUGAUACACACCUUUACAUCACAUUGUAUCCCCUAUGAGAUGAGAGCAUGCAGCCUCCAGGCAUUGUCUGGUCUUAUAACCCAAACCAGAGCUUAAACACCUCGGAGAACAGAAGGGAAAGAUGAGAGACAAGUGAAGAGAUGGAGAGGUAAUGGGAAGUUGAAUGUGAGAUUAGAGGGAUGAAGGGGAGGAUGAGUAGGAGUUAAGGAGUUAGUCGAAUAGAGGGAUGUAAUAUAAUGACAAGCAGAGGUGGAGUGUGCAGAGGAAGCUCUUGGUAUUCAGGGUUGAUCCUGUCUUCAGUGCAUGAAGACUGAUCUGUUUCUGAUUUCAGCUGCAUAAUGGAAUUGUCUUGGCAAUGACAGGGGAGUACAAACUGAUCCGGGACCAGGCUAGCCUGCACGGGAGGUCACGGUGGACUGGAGGGCUGCGUGAUGUUGUGACUCAGUGCUCUGUUUGAGUGAGCGUUGGUCUAAAUCACAAAGACUGAUAGUCACUGCACUCACACACACACACACACACCGAAACGCAUGCAUUUGCUGUGACACAAAAUGUAAUCCUCCUUGUCUGUCAAACACUCAGUCACUUCAGUCUGUGAUGGACCUACACUCAUACUCUUCUGUGACACACACACACACACACACAAUAUAGCACAUUCUCAUGCUCUGCCAGAAAGAUUUAGUGAGAAACUGUAUGUUUCCCCUCUGGUCUCUGAUAGCUUCCAGUUCAGUAGAUUCUGGUUGGUAAUGAGGUUGGCUACACCAGCUUCCUGGUUACCUCUUCCUGUUGUGCAACCGUACUGUAUGGUUUACAGUAGACUUUCCUUAUAUUAACCUCUGACACUCUCUGUCUCAGAUCUGUAAUACUGAGUGAAGGGCCGUGCGAGAGGGACUUAUAAAAGAGAACCCACCUUGCUUGGUUGUCAUAGUGUGCAGAGGAGAGGAGUGCUCCUCAGUAGUAGCAGCAGCCAUGGGCCUGGUAGCUUACCUGAAGACCCAGUUUGUUCUGCAGCUCCUCCUGGGUUUUGUAUUCGUGGUGAGCGGCCUCCUCAUCAACUUCAUCCAGUUGUUGACAUGCGUCCUGUGGCCCAUCGACAAGCAGCUGUACCGCAGGAUCAACACCAGGCUCUCCUACUCCCUCUGGAGCCAGCUGGUGAUGCUGCUGGAGUGGUGGUCGGGAACACAGUGCACCCUCUACACAGAUCAGGCCACGGUGGACAAGUUCGGCAAGGAACACGUCAUCAUCAUCCUCAACCACAACUAUGAGAUUGACUUCCUGUGCGGCUGGACUAUCUGUGAGCGAUACGGAGUCCUAGGGAGUUCCAAGGUGCUGGCCAAACACGAGCUGCUGAAGGUGCCUCUGAUUGGCUGGACCUGGUAUUUCCUGGAGAUCGUGUUCUGUAAGAGGAAGUGGGAGGAGGACCGAGAGACCGUGUUCAGAGGGCUAGAAAGACUCAGAGACUACCCUGAGUUUAUGUGGUUCCUGCUGUACUGUGAAGGCACUCGCUUCACAGAGAAGAAGCACCAGAUCAGUAUGGAAGUGGCAGAGAGUAAAGGCCUGCCCAAGCUCAAAUACCACCUGCUGCCCAGAACCAAAGGCUUCACCACUGCACUCAAAUGCCUCCAGGGCACAGUGUCUGCUGUGUAUGACGUCACACUGAACUUUAAAGACCACCAAGUCCCCACUCUGCUGGGCAUCAUCAACGGCAAGAAAUACAUGGCAGAUAUGAGAAUCAGGCGGUUCCCUGUAGAGGAGAUCCCAGAAGAUGAGAAGGAGUGUGCCAACUGGCUUCAUAAACUCUACCAGGAGAAGGAUGCUUUGCAGGAGCACUACCAUAAAGAGGGCACUUUCCCGGGUCCAACAAUCACCCCUCCUCGCCGGUUGUGGACGCUACUCAACUUCCUGUUCUGGGCGGCCCUGCUGCUCUCACCCCUCAUCAACUUCGCCUGCGGGGUGGUGGUCAGUGGCUCCCCCCUCCUCAUCCUCGGCUUCAGCCUCUUCCUCAUUGUAGCCUCCAUAGCCAUCCGGCGCCUGAUCGGUGUCACCGAGGUAAAGAAGACAGGCUCCAGUUACGGCGACGAGGGGUCCAAGAAACAGAACUAGACCUCUACCUCCCCCCUGUUGGUUGCUGUACAGUCCUCCUGCGGUUCCCCUCCCUCUAUUCUGUUGUCCUGCAGGUGCAGUCAGCACGCCGGGGAGGGGGCCAAACCAUUACACCUAGAGAUAAAACAGAUCUGGAGGGGGCCAAACCAUUACACAUAGAGAUAAAACAGAUAGAUCUGGAUGAGACCAAACCAUUACACCUAGAGAUAAAACAGAUCUGGAGGGGGCCAAACCAUUACACAUAGAGAUAAAACAGAUAGAUCUGGAUGAGACCAAACCAUUACACCUAGAGAUAAAACAGAUCUGGAGGGGGCCAAACCAUUACACAUAGAGAUAAAACAGAUAGAUCUGGAUGAGACCAAACCAUUACACCUAGAGAUAAAACAGAUCUGGAGGGGGCCAAACCAUUACACAUAGAGAUAAAACAGAUAGAUCUGGAUGAGACCAAACCAUUACACCUAGAGAUAAAACAGAUCUGGAUGAGACCAAACCAUUACACCUAGAGAUAAAACGUAUAGAUCUGGAGGGGGCCAAACCAUUACACCUAGAGAUAAAACAGAUAGAUCUGUAGGGUGCCAAACCGUUACACCUAGAGAUACCACAUAUAGAUCUGGAGGGAGCCAAACCAUUACACCUAGAAAUAAAAUGGAUAGAUCUAGAGGGGGCCAAACCAUUACAGAUAGAUAAAACAGAUCUGUAGGGGACCAAAACAUUACACCUAGAGAUAAAACAGAGAGAUCUGGAGAAAGAAAGAGAGAGAGCGUUAUGACCAUGGAAGGAGUGUGGAGAGAGAGACAGGAAGACUGUCUGGAGCCAGCUCUCUGUGGAGUAGGAGAGGGCAGAAGGAGAGGCUAUGACCAGGCUCUCUUUGCCACCCUUAACAACUCUCUCGGAUGUCCCCGGCCACGCCCACUCUUCACCUCCUGACCACUCGGGUUCUCACCACCGGACAACUAGUCAGCUCACCACACAGAAACAAGCCCACUUCCUGUUCUGAGCUAACCACUUCCUUUUCCUGUCACAUGCUCUGGUCCUUUUUUUACUCGUGUUCACCUCUUGUAACAACAUACAGUACAUCUCCCCCUCGUUCUACCAAAUGACUGGACUUCAAAUGGGAACCCGUUUCUUGAGGCUCAGCCUGGUUUCCACUUUGCUUUUAACCUCUAAGAAAAAUGUGUUUAUUUUUUCACUGUGCUUCCUAUCUCUGCUGUGGGAGCCCGCCACCUUUUAUAUUUGUUGUCCAGAUUCAAAAUCAAAUAUAAUGCGGCGUUUCCAUGAUUCUACAAGUCUAUGCAUUCUGGUUACUGUUGAAUAUUACCACGGCAACUAUUUUCAUCUGGGCUAUGUACAACAGCAGAGAUGGGACUUCCAGUGUUUUAAAUACUGAGGCAGGUUUCUGUGUGUUAAGACUACAGUAAGGGCUCUGUAUUCAUUAACUACACACUAAUUAACUACUUACUAACAUUUUGUUAUCUUUGACUGUUCCAACGCCCUCAAGUUCUGACUAAUGAUUAUUUUAUGUAGGUUUUCUUCCGCAUUCUCCCAUGCUUGUAGAUGUCUGCACACACAUUAACAUGCCAUUUUAUGACUCGCCAGUUCCUGAGUGAACUUCUCUUCUUCUGUUGUCUCCGCUCUGUUUUACACAACUCAACCACCCCUGGUGUCUUUACACAGCUCAACCACCCCCGGUGUCUUUACACAGCUCAACCACCCCCGGUGUCUUUACACAGCUCAACCACCCCUGGUGUCUUUACACAGCUCAACCACCCCUGGUGUCUUUACACAACUCAACCACCCCCGGUGUCUUUACACAGCUCAACCACCCCCGGUGUCUUUACACAGCUCAACCACCCCGGUGUCUUUACACAGCUCAACCACCCCCGGUGUCUUUACACAGCUCAACCACCCCCGGUGUCUUUACACAGCUCAACCACCCCCGGUGUCUUUACACAGCUCAACCACCCCUGGUGUCUUUACACAGCUCAACCACCCCCGGUGUUUAUACACAGCUCAACCACCCCCGGUGUCUUUACACAGCUCAACCACCCCUGGUGUCUUUACACAGCUCAACCACCCCCGGUGUUUAUACACAGCUCAACCACCCCCGGUGUCUUUACACAGCUCAACCACCCCCGGUGUCUAUACACAGCUCAACCACCCCCGGUGUCUUUACACAGCUCAACCACCCCGGUGUCUUUACACAGCUCAACCACCCCCGGUGUCUUUACACAGCUCAACCACCCCCGGUGUCUUUACACAGCUCAACCACCCCCGGUGUCUAUACACAGCUCAACCACCCCCGGUGUCUAUACACAACUCAACCACUCCCGGUGUCUUUACACAACUCAACCACUCCAGGUGUCUAUACACAACUCAACCACCCUCCAUGUCAGUGUGACUCUUAUAAUAACCAAUUCCAGUCAAAACAGACUAUAACCCCACCUACCCUUUUAUAGUUGAAAUGCACUAGCUACUGAUUCUCUCCAGCUGUAGACUCUAGUAAUGUUUGCCUCUGCAAGGGUGACUGUUUGAUUGGUUACUAAGUUCUCAUCGGCUAAGGUGAUUGUUUGAUCGGUUACACCGUUCCUAUCUCUUAGGCUAGGGUGACUUGAUUGGUUACUAAGUUCCCGUCCUACCUCAUCUCUUAAGCAAGGGUGAUUUGAUUGGUUACUAAAUUCCAUUCCUACCUCAUCUCUUCCUCUACUAAAGUCUUGGUGCACUGUGGGUAGUUGAAUAUUCUCCAUGUUAGUUCUGGCAUGUUUAUUAGGCCCUGGUGUAUGUUGACAUGGUGCAGGAGCAAAAUGAUUUUAUUGAAUUGCAAUUACAUUUGUCAUUUAACAGAAGCUCUAAUCCAGAGCAAUUUACAAUACCGUCCCUAACAGUACUGUUCUACAUCUCAGUAGCCAGCGAUAUGUUACUAAAAGCUGCUUCCAGGAAGGAGGUUUUUGCCCUGCUGUUUAUUUCUUGCUGCUAUUCCCUGCAUGUUACAGCACCACCCUGAGCUCAGGCACUGCAACUGCAUUUGCUUUCCAACACUCCUGCACUUGCUUUGAACACAUCGCACAUUGUUUGUCUAUUUACACUCUGAUGAGUGUAAAUGGGAGGGUGCUGACUUUCCUUUACAAACUGGGAUUGGCAUGAAAGCAGGUGUCAGAUUACAGGUGACUGGUAUUUCCUGAGUGCAACAUGCAAACAUAGCAGCAACACGUCGUCGUCAUCAUCCCUUGUCUGGAGAAGACACCCAGUCUGUUACAACAUCACCAGCUUUUCACCGUAUGUUGUUCAUGUCCUUUGUUCUUCUUUUAUUUUAUUGUGUCGUUUAAAUGUUUUUUUUUUUAACCAGGACAGAUUCAUGCAAGCCUUAACAGAGUGCAGCUUCAUUAUAUUGUGUGAACUUAGGCAGACCACGCUUCCUCAGCCCCCUUAUAGUACAUUUGGAUUGGCAAGUGGUGUGGGAGACUGAAUUAGUGAGGUUCACAUACAUCUGCCCUCUGUUAAAAAAAGAAAAAUAACUCCUGUUUAUUUGUCAAUAUAGAGUCCUGGAAACAAGUAUUUUUUGAGAGGGGUUAGUUGAUAAGGCAUAGUUAGUGUUAAGGCUGAAGAGCUGGGGGUUCCAUGAGAAUCUGCUUAUUGUUACAGUAAUAGUUAAGAGGGCCCCAUUUUUAGUAAUAGACUCCGUGUCCCAUGAUGCUUCUGUGUUCGAUACCUCUGUUACAACUCCUGUUAAUUCUCUCAACUGUCAAUACAACUGCUUCAGGAGCUUAAGAGAGAUCUGGGCCCAUAUCCACAGAGUCUAACAGUAGGAGUGCUGAUCUAGGAUCUUUCCAUAUAUUCUUAUUAAUUCUGAUCUAAAAGGCUAAACUGAUCCUAUAUCAGCCCUCUGGCUCUGAGAGGCUUUGUGGGUACGAGCCCUGUUCUACGUUGUGGGGCAUAAGUUUUAUCUUCAGUGUCCUUCCCAUACUGUAAUUCCAAACUACAGUACCCAUCAGGCACUGGUGCAGUCCCACCACUCCCUCAGGUAUCUAUCAGUCAGCUGUGUUUACACAGGCAGCCCAAUUCUGAUAUUUUUUUCACUAGUCGGUCUUUUGACCAAUCGGAUCAGCUCUGAAACAGAUUUGAUGUGAAAAGGCCAAUUAGUGGAGAAACGACCCAAAUUGGGCUGCCUGUGUAAACGCAGCCUAUGGUGUAUCUAUUCCAGAGCAACAGGACAAAUGCAGAGAAGUUAACACUAUGACAUUUUCUAACACUGGAGGUUUGUACUGCAAAAAAUCCCACUAAUUUCUGAUUUUCUUAUUUUUGUUAAAGUUCUCGAAACUAAAGAAACAAGUAACGUUCAACACUGAAAUUUGAACCUUUUUUGGCAUGAAAGUUGUUAAAGUUGCAUCUCGACUCAACUUACAUUUGUAUUUUUUCUAAGUCUAUUUGUAUCUGUUGUUUCUUUAAGUAAACAAUUAAGAAUAUUAAAGGAUUUAAUCAGGCAA